Small RNA from Firmicutes bacterium CAG:194, 168 nucleotides. It matches the Rfam family "Clostridiales-1 RNA". The record is from Rfam. NCBI's taxonomy places the organism in Bacteria, Bacillati, Bacillota.
UGAUGUCAGGGUCUAAAGGUCUAAACCCACGUGAGCUCGCUCAUAGGUGGGUGAAAGACCUUGAGACCCGCUCCGAUAUGAGCAUAAAAGUGGGAUGAUAAUCCCACGAUAUGCGAAUAUUGGGGAGAAUUGUGGGAGUGCGUAGCACGAAACAAUUCGUAGACAUUA